AGAACGAACGCUGGCGGCAUGCCUAAUACAUGCAAGUCGAACGAACACUUCGGUGUUAGUGGCGCACGGGUGCGUAACGCGUGGGAAUCUGCCCUUGGGUUCGGAAUAACAGUUGGAAACGACUGCUAAUACCGGAUGAUGACGUAAGUCCAAAGAUUUAUCGCCCAGGGAUGAGCCCGCGUAGGAUUAGCUAGUUGGUGAGGUAAAGGCUCACCAAGGCGACGAUCCUUAGCUGGUCUGAGAGGAUGAUCAGCCACACUGGGACUGAGACACGGCCCAGACUCCUACGGGAGGCAGCAGUGGGGAAUAUUGGACAAG
RNAcentral lists this ribosomal RNA (318 nucleotides) under uncultured soil bacterium. RNAcentral's name for it is "bacterial SSU rRNA". It matches the Rfam family "Bacterial small subunit ribosomal RNA", at positions 26 to 372 of the family's 1533-position model. The record is from RNAcentral.